RNAcentral lists this ribosomal RNA (483 nucleotides) under uncultured bacterium. RNAcentral describes it as "partial 16S ribosomal RNA". It matches the Rfam family "Bacterial small subunit ribosomal RNA", at positions 30 to 507 of the family's 1533-position model. The record is from RNAcentral.
AUUGAACGCUGGCGGCAGGCCUAACACAUGCGAGUCGAGCGGAUGAAGGGAGCUUGCUCCUGGAUUCAGCGGCGGACGGGUGAGUAAUGCCUAGGAAUCUGCCUGGUAGUGGGGGUAACGUUCUGAAACGGGCUCUAAUUCCGCAUACGUCCCAGGGGAGAAUGUUGGGGAUCUUUGGGCCUCAUGCUCUCGGGUGUGCCUAGGUCGGAUUAGCUGGUUGGGGGGGUGAAGGCCUACCAAGGCGAGGAUUCGUAACUGGUCGGAGAGGAUGGUCAGUCACACUGGAGCUGAGACACGGUCCAGACUCCUACGGGAGGCAGCAGUCGGGAACAUUGGACAAUAGGCGAGAGCCUUGUCCAGCCAUGCCGCGUGUGUUAAGAAGGUCUUCCGAUUGUAAAGCACUUUAAGUUGGGAGGAACGGCAGUAAGUUAAUACCUUGCUGUUUUGACGUUACCAACACAAUAAGCACCGGCUAACUACGUG